GCUCGCAUGCGUGGCGAAGGGAGGGGGUGGGGUCGGUCCCCGCUCCCCCCACCCGAACCCACACACACCCGAGCGCCGCGUUAGGUUCUGCUGCUUUGCCGCAGAAGAUGGGUGAGCAGAAAGUGAGUGCCGGCGGCGGCGGGAGCCUGCGCCCCCCCACCCCCCCCGCGGGGCGCCGGUUGCUGCGGGCGCGGGCGGCAGCUGCGGCGGUGUCUCUGCAAAGCAUUGUCUCUACUCCAGUGAAGAAAAAUGGUGACAUUCACAACCUCAUUGACAUACUACAACAGACAAUAAAAAUGUUCAGGUAAGAUCUUCUAAUGCAAUCACCGAUUUGGAGAAAGGAUGUGGUGGUCUGUGUUCUGUGUUGGCUGAGAUAGAGGCGUAUGACCAGCUGUAUUUGGUGAGAAGAGGCUUGGAAACUUCAUGCUCUGCAGGUAACUUUAUCUGUAAAUUUUUGCAGCUGAGUAGAAACAGUUUUAAACUGUUAGUUUAAAUCUCAACUGAAAGUGAGAUUUUGGUAAUGUUGCAAGAAAUGCAGUAAGUGUAAGGUAAAUGUUGUGUUUGAUAUAAGUACGUCUCUGGUCCCUUCUUCUAGGGUACUUCAUGGUCUCUGUCAUAUUUACGUUCUCAACAUUACAUGGGAAAGAAGUGAUAUUACCCACAGAGGUUGCAGGUGGAGAGUGUCUGCAUAGGAUAAAAUAAUUUCCUUUUUCAAGGCUACUGCUACAUUAAACAGUACCUGUUCAUUGAUGAUGUGCAGCUCUUUGAAUAUAAAUUGUAGUGCACACAUGUGUAAUCAUUUCUUCGCUUCUGAAAUCCUGAUGUUGGGAGAAACAGGCCUUAAAAUGAAAUCUGGCUUUUAAGUCGGACUUCACCACCUAUCCAACUUUUUCCCCUUUGAAUUUAAAGGAUGUGCCAUGUAUCACUGUGCACUUGUCAAGCACAGUGACGUUUUAAUUAACGUGAUGUGUCAGAGGUAAUAGCCAUGAUUAGGUAAGGUAAUGAGUUGUUACAAGUGCAUAGCAAAGCCAUGGAGUUUUAGUACUGGUAGUUUAUAAACCAAUUUUUAAAUGUGAAUACAUCAAAUUGUUCUUACUUUCUAUUUUUGCUUCAGAAUUAGGUUGAUCUGUGUAUUAGUGCUCUAAAGAGCUCUGAGGAUCUGCUGAAGCUUGCUGAACCAGGAGGAAGAGCAUGCAGAAUGCUUUAUGGUAGAAAAUAUUGACCAGAUGUGCAGAUGUUGGUAUUUGUCUUAAUUUGAAAUAUCCUUUGCAUUACUGCACUGGGCCUGCAGACUUAUCAGGAAUACUGAGAGAAAGAAUAGAGAUGCAUGUAAAAAUUCAUAUAAUGCUCUGUUGAGGAGGCCAAGUCAAUAUAAUCUUGAAUUUUUAUGCAGUCUCCAGUAAAAUAAGGAUUUUUCUCUUAUUCAGAAUGGGGGGGGAGGGAAAGGAAUACCUUCUCCUGGAUGACGUGUCAGUGUAAAGCAAACUUGCACUCAUGCUGGGUAAGCGAAUUCAGAAAGUGAGGGUGAAACAAAUCUUGACAUACCUGAACCAAGACUUGCAAAAUAUGUGACGGCCAGCACUCAGAGCCACGGCAGGUGAUCUGUCAGUUUCACAGGACUGUUACAUGACACUGGCACAGAGUCUCUGUAUUCUCUCUGCAGCCAUCCAUGGCUGACAACAUGUUUGUUUUGCAGAACUUCAGGCAAGCUGUGGAUCUUCAGUUUGCAAACCUGAUCUCUAUAGCUGCUCUGAAAGAUCUUGGGAAAUUGAAUUCAGGGCAACUCUUCCUCUAUUCCCCAAAACCUUCUAAUGCAUUCGUAUACUGUGCAGACAAGAGCCUGGUUUGGGCCUCACAUUGCUGUGAGUUGUAGUGGCUCCAGCAUUCUGUGUGUCUCUGAUACGAAGGGUCAGUGACAGCAUGACUCAUCUGAUGGUGGAUUUCACUCUUGAAAAGGCACACUUGAGGCUCUGAAGUUUUUGACAGGCCUGAAAUUUGAUUCGAAGUACAUGAUUUUCAGAGUACGAGCUUGCAACAAAGCUGCGGCAGGGAGUUACUGUGAUCCUGUGAUUCUGGAAACCAAAGUUUGGACCCUACUUCAGCUCAUGUGAACUUGAAAGUUGAAGGUACCUAUGUUGAAUGGGAUCCUAUAGGAGGCAGAGGCCAAGGAAAAAUAAAAGGGAAGGAAAAUAAAAGCAGGAGUGGUGUAGAGUCCCCAAAGAUGAUGCAUCUUAGCACAAAGUCCUCACUGAGGGCCAGGGAUUCAUUUAUUGGUGAACCAUGCACAAUGUUGGUUCAGAUGUUGGUAUU
Molecule: RNA transcript, 2310 nt
Organism: Tyto alba (common barn owl)
Lineage: Eukaryota; Metazoa; Chordata; Aves; Strigiformes; Tytonidae
Gene: FSD1L
Gene name: fibronectin type III and SPRY domain containing 1 like
Exons: 8
Source: RefSeq, a predicted model, not a curated record